This 4045-nucleotide long non-coding RNA is filed under the name Citrus maxima (pomelo). Its description in RNAcentral is "long non-coding RNA (CMAX_LNC000161)". The record is from RNAcentral. Lineage: Eukaryota; Viridiplantae; Streptophyta; Magnoliopsida; Sapindales; Rutaceae.
UGAACUCCAUUUUUGUUGCUCUACAAAAGCUUAACAUGCAUUGUUUUUAUCCCAUUGUCCUUGACAACAAAACAAUCUCACUGAAUGUCUCUCACACUCUGUUUUCCCACAACAGAGGAAACAGAGCAAGCAAAAUUCCGUUUGUGCUUCCAUCUUUUUCAUUCUUCUUCACUUGAAAUUGAACUACUAUAAGUCGGAAAACAGUAUUCACUCACUCCUCGCUACUGAAUACACCCUAUUGAGCUCUGUUUUCAAGUCCUUGUUGGUCUCUUUCAAGUAAAAAGUUUACAGAAGUUUGACCUUCAGCUCAGGAGUUCACUCAAAAGUGUAGGAUUCAGUCAACUGCGUAGCAUAAUUUGUUCAGCUUUUGGCAUUUGCCGCACAAAUUUCUACAAAAAUGAUGCUAUCAACAAAAUCUGAGUCUGACAUCACAAGCUUGGCACCAUCAUCACCCUCAAGGUCACCAAAACGUCCUGUGUACUAUGUGCAAAGCCCUUCAAGGGAUUCUCAGGAUGGGGACAAGUCAUCCUCAUUGCAACCAAGCCCCAUGGAGUCGCCUUCACAUCCGUCUUUCGGCAGGCACUCCAGAAACUCUUCUGCCAGCAGGUUUUCAGGCAUUUUCCGGUCGUCUUCUGGGAGGAAAGGGACGAGAAAAAGGAACGAUAAAGGGUGGCCUGAGUGUAAUGUGAUAUUGGAAGAAGGAAAAUAUGAUGAGUUUGAAGAUAAGGGCUUUGUAAGAAGGUUUCAGGCCUUUAUUGCUCUUUUCAGUUUUGUGCUUUUGUUUACUGUUUUUUGCUUGAUUAUUUGGGGUGCCAGCAGGCCUUUCAAGGCAGAGAUUACUGUCAAGGUAUGCUAAUUUAGUUCCUUAAUUUCUCUUGUUUUUGGUAUCUAAUUUUUGUUUUUGUUUUUGUUUUUUGUUAUAUUUAACUCAGGUUAGUUUAACUCAUAAAACCUUCUAGGUGAUUUUUUCUAGUCAUGCUAUGCUCACAAAAACAAAAAUUAAAAAUAAAUAACUUUGGUGAAUGAAAAGUUGAAGCAUGAGUAAUCAAGUAAUGAUUUUAAGUACAGAAGGAAUUUUAAUUCUGUUUGGUUUUAUGCAGUUAGAAUUCGCAAGGCUAAUAAAGGGAUUUUGUAGUGGAAUAAUCUCAAAAUUUUAGAAUGAAGCUGCCAUUGUGUUUUGUAACUAAAAUGAGGCAAUUGGAUUAGCUAACAGAUGAGAUCGUAACAAAAGCUUAUGGCUGUAAUCAAAUUUUAGGUUCACAGCAUAUGCAUUCUGAAUUUUUUCUGGCUGCCUAAAGGACAUGUGAUCUUUGCAGAGCUUAUCAAUGCACAACUUUUAUGUCGGUGAGGGUUCAGACUCCACUGGAGUUCCAACAAAGAUGCUAACAAUGAAUGGCUCAUUGAAGAUAAGCGUGUACAACCCUGCUACAAUAUUUGGCAUUCAUGUCAGCUCCACGCCUAUCGAUGUCGUCUACUCAGAGAUUGUUAUUGCAACUGGGCAGGUGAGAACUCUGGUCUCAAACAUGUCAACAACAACGAAAAAUGUUAGUUUUUUCGGUCGUAUUAAACUUCUCAAUGCUAACAAGCAAAAGCCCUAAUCAUCUUGCAACGCUGCAACUUGUGAUGACUUGCAGUUGAAGAAAUAUUAUCAGCCAAGGAAAAGUCACCGAACUGUGUCGGUGAACUUGCAAAGUAACAAGGUUCCACUCUAUGGGGCGGGAUCAGGUUUAACAAUUUCUCCAACCGGAGGUGAAGUUCCUUCGACACUGAAGUUUGGAAUCCGAUCAAGAGGAGAAGUUGUGGGAAAGCUGGUGAAGACAACACAUAAGAAGCAAAUCACCUGCCCUUUAGUCAUAGACAUUCUCAGCACUAAGCCCAUCAAGUUCAAGAAGAAUGCAUGCACAUAUGACUGAUCAGACCGAAUGUUGGUUGAUGAAGUGUUGAGUUUUGUAUAAGUUGCUCAUGUUUUUCCUGUUAUUGUAUUUUCUGGAUUGCAGCCUGGGUUUCUUCCACUUCAUAAGGAAAAAUGAGAUGUAUUCAUAGUCCUUUUAAGGUUCACGCAAGCAAUAUGCAAAGCUAUGCUGCACGUACGAUAUGUUUAGUCUUUUGAAAGGAUCAUGGAAGUGAAAUAAUGUUUGCCAAGAAUGUAAAUCAACAGAGGAGAUUGUGAAUAAUUCUAUGCUUGUUGCUUAGCUCCAUCUUUCUUGCCGCUGCAUUCCAAACCCAAUGAGGUUCCGUGUGAGCAUUAAAUCUUAAAGUAAGCUUUUAAAUAAGUCAACUAAAUAUUUUAUUGUCUCUUCCCAUAUAAAAUUGUGUUUCAUAUGGUAACUCGGGCUUACUAAGACAAGGAGGCUAGCAAAAACGGAAAUAUAGUAAACAUUAACAUUCUAUGAAAAAUAAAUAAACAAAUUUAAUAAAAGUCAUGAAAAUUUAAUCUCAAUAAAAUUAUACCACACUAUCUUCUUUAAUUGGUAAAAUCGGAUAUUUAACCCAAAAAAAAAAUAAAAAAAAAAAAGCGAAAGCUUUGGAUCAUUGGAAUUAGUAUUUCUUUUGGAAAAAAAAUAAAUAUAAAUAAAACAAGAACAAAAAAGAGGACCAAAGGGGUGCAUGUCCAUAACUUUAGUAGUUUCUUUGACUGUCGACAGCUCCCCUUGCAUCUUCAUUUCGCAUUGUUUUAGUUAAAAAUCUUUUCACGCAAAACCCUCACAAGUCCAGAUCUCUUAUUGAAUCUCACUGCAUAUUCUCAAGUACCCAGAAAUCAAAAUCACUCGGUUUCCAUGUUUCCCGCAAAACCCACUUCAAGAAUCAUCCUUUUCACCCUCUCUCUCCUUCUACUCAUCUCAUUCUUCACCACCACCACCAUUGCAAUUGCCUCUGAUCUUGACACUGUCAGGGCAGAGAUUACUGUCAAGGUAUGCUAAUUUAGUUCCUUAAUUUCUCUUGUUUUUGGUAUCUAAUUUUGUUUUUUUGUUAUAUUUAACUCAGGUUAGUUUAACUCAUAAAACCUUCUAGGUGAUUUUUUCUAGUCAUGCUAUGCUCACAAAAACAAAAAUUAAAAAUAAAUAACUUUGGUGGGUGAAAAGUUGAAGCAUGAGUAAUCAAGGAAUGAUUUUAAUACAGAAGGAAUUUUAAUUUUGUUUGGUUUUAUGUAGUUAAAAUGCGCAAGGCUAAUAAACGGAUUUUGUAGUGGAAUAAUCUCAAAAUUCUAUAAUGAAGCUGCCACUGUGUUUUGUAGCUAAAAUGAGGCAAUUGGAUUGGCUAAGAGAUGAGAUUAAUUGUAACAAAAGCUCAUGUCUGUAAUCAAAUUUUAGGUUCAUAUCAUAUGCAUUCUGAAUUUUUUCUGGCUGCCUAAAGGACAUUUGAUCUUUGCAGAGCUUAUCAAUGCACAACUUCUAUGUCGGUGAGGGUUCAGACUCCACUGGAGUUCCAACAAAGAUGCUAACAAUGAAUGGCUCAUUGAAGAUAAGCGUGUACAACCCUGCUACAAUAUUUGGCAUUCAUGUCAGCUCCACGCCUAUCGAUGUCGUCUACUCAGAGAUUGUUAUUGCAACUGGGCAGGUGAGAACUCUGGUCUCAAACAUGUCAACAACAACGAAAAAUGUUAGUUUUUUCGGUCGUAUUAAACUUCUCAAUGCUAACAAGCAAAAGCCCUAAUCAUCUUGCAACGCUGCAACUUGUGAUGACUUGCAGUUGAAGAAAUAUUAUCAGCCAAGGAAAAGUCACCGAACUGUGUCGGUGAACUUGCAAGGUAACAAGGUUCCACUCUACGGGGCGGGAUCAGGUUUGACAAUUACUCCAACCGGAGGUGAAGUUCCGUCGACACUGAAGUUUGGAAUCCGAUCAAGAGGAGAAGUUGUGGGAAAGCUGGUGAAGACAACACACAAGACGCAAAUUACCUGCCCUUUAGUCAUAGACAUUCUCAGCACUAAGCCCAUCAAGUUCAAGAAGAAUGCAUGCACAUAUGACUGAUCAGACCGAAUGUUGGUUGAUGAAGUGUUGAGUUUUGUAUAAGUUGCUCAUGUUUUUCCUGUUAUUGUAUUUUCUG